This 33-nucleotide ribosomal RNA is filed under the name Ophiostoma novo-ulmi subsp. americana. Its description in RNAcentral is "partial 26S ribosomal RNA". Lineage: Eukaryota; Fungi; Ascomycota; Sordariomycetes; Ophiostomatales; Ophiostomataceae. The record is from RNAcentral.
AAGGUUGACCUCGGAUCAGGUAGGAUUACCCGC